This 301-nucleotide ribosomal RNA is filed under the name uncultured bacterium. Its description in RNAcentral is "partial 16S ribosomal RNA". It matches the Rfam family "Bacterial small subunit ribosomal RNA", at positions 509 to 807 of the family's 1533-position model. The record is from RNAcentral.
CAGCAGCCACGGGAAUACGUAGGGUGCGAGCGUUAAUCGGAAUUACUGGGCGUAAAGCGUGCGCAGGCGGUUUUGUAAGACAGGCGUGAAAUCCCCGGGCUCAACCUGGGAAUGGCGCUUGUGACUGCAAAGCUAGAGUGCGGCAGAGGGGGAUGGAAUUCCGCGUGUAGCAGUGAAAUGCGUAGAUAUGCGGAGGAACACCGAUGGCGAAGGCAAUCCCCUGGGCCUGCACUGACGCUCAUGCACGAAAGCGUGGGGAGCGAACAGGAUUAGAUACCCCGGUAGUCCCUGUCUCUUAUAC